Molecule: ribosomal RNA, 896 nt
Filed under: uncultured bacterium
Lineage: Bacteria
Description: bacterial SSU rRNA
Rfam family: Bacterial small subunit ribosomal RNA
Source: RNAcentral
AGAGUUUGAUCCUGGCUCAGGACGAACGCUGGCGGCGUGCCUAACACAUGCAAGUCGUGCGGAAGGGCCUCUUCGGAGGUACUCGAGCGGCGAACGGGUGAGUAACACGUGAGUAACCUGCCUCUGGCUCUGGGAUAACCCUCGGAAACGGGGGCUAAUACUGGAUAUGACACCUGUCCGCAUGGGCUGGGUGUGGAAAGCCUUUGGGCGGCCAGAGAUGGGCUCGCGGCCUAUCAGCUUGUUGGUGGGGUAACGGCCUACCAAGGCGAUGACGGGUAGCCGGCCUGAGAGGGCGACCGGCCACACUGGGACUGAGACACGGCCCAGACUCCUACGGGAGGCAGCAGUGGGGAAUAUUGCGCAAUGGGCGAAAGCCUGACGCAGCGACGCCGCGUGAGGGAUGAAGGCCUUCGGGUUGUAAACCUCUUUCAGCCCUGACGAAGCGCGAGUGACGGUAGGGGCAGAAGAAGCGCCGGCUAACUACGUGCCAGCAGCCGCGGUAAGACGUAGGGCGCAAGCGUUGUCCGGAUUUAUUGGGCGUAAAGAGCUCGUAGGCGGUCUGUCGCGUCGGUUGUUAAAUCCCGGGGCUUAACUCCGGGUUGCUGCCGAUACGGGCAGACUUGAGGCAGGUAGGGGAGAGUGGAAUUCCUGGUGUAGCGGUGAAAUGCGCAGAUAUCAGGAGGAACACCGGUGGCGAAGGCGGCUCUCUGGGCCUGUCCUGACGCUGAGGAGCGAAAGCGUGGGGAGCGAACAGGAUUAGAUACCCUGGUAGUCCACGCCGUAAACGUUGGGCGCUAGGUGUGGGGGACUCUCCUGUCUUCCGUGCCGUAGCUAACGCAUUAAGCGCCCCGCCUGGGGAGUACGGCCGCAAGGCUAAAACUCAAAUGAAUUGACGG